Molecule: long non-coding RNA, 740 nt
Organism: Pomacea canaliculata
Lineage: Eukaryota; Metazoa; Mollusca; Gastropoda; Architaenioglossa; Ampullariidae
Exons: 4
Source: RefSeq, a predicted model, not a curated record
CCCAUGUUUGGUUUAUGCAAGUAAGAAUAAAUACAAGAGUUAGGAUAAACAGAACGGAGUAGGGAGGUAGACGGGAAUAGAGACACAUUUUUGCUAAUCCGAAAGUCUUUCAUCCUCGAUAAUGGAUCGAUGGUAAUGAAAAGCUAUACCUUCGUUCUUCUGAUGUUAUUAUCAUUGCUAUUAUUAUUUUUGUUAUCAUUGUUCAACAGUUUUCUAGUCAACGGAAAUACCCCAUAUGACCAUCGCAAACUCUACGGAAAAGAAGCUUAAGCUUGUUUAACGAGAUCAUCAUUGGGGCUGCGAGGUGUUCAGUCACAGGACCUCGCUCUGCCUAAAAUAUUACUGAGAAGAAGUAACAUGGUUUGAUAGCGACAUUCAGUGAUUUCAAACAAAAAGCUGUGAUACUGACAGGCAAUCCAAAAUGAGUUGUCAGCUGAAGAACACAAAAAGUCCAUUUGAAAUCCAGUGCUCAUUUCCUGAUGUCGGUGACGGGAAAGGCGAUUUUUCAGUCUACUUUAAUCCUUUCAAUGGACCUGCAGCACAACUCAUGGUUAGCUGCACGCGCAUUGAAAGAAGAUACGCGUGUACCUCAGAUGAGGUCGUCGUCACACAGGAAAAUCUCAACACUGCGACCAUCACUGUGACUGAAACAUUUGCUAAAAAGAAAGGAACAUUUUCUUGUCAGAGAGGAGACCUUCCUGUGACCAAGCAAUGCCAGUUUCCAUUUUCGGGUAAGAUUU